RNAcentral lists this long non-coding RNA (200 nucleotides) under Oryza brachyantha (malo sina). Its description in RNAcentral is "long non-coding RNA (OBRA_LNC000037)". The record is from RNAcentral. Lineage: Eukaryota; Viridiplantae; Streptophyta; Magnoliopsida; Poales; Poaceae.
GUUAAGCGUGAAUGGAUGGGAGAAAUAUUUGUAAGCCUGUUUUACAUUUAGAUCUGUUUUUGUUGUUGGAUGGAUGAAUGAUUUGUGGUAACGUUCUACAUCGAUAUAAAAUAAGAUUGUUUUUUUUAUCAUAUCUUAUUUAUUCUAAAAGUAAUUUAUUUAUGAGCAAUCAUUACAUCAGAGUUUGUAGUAGGGAAUAU